Felis catus (domestic cat) is the source of this 1341-nucleotide long non-coding RNA. RefSeq lists it as uncharacterized. The record is from RefSeq and is a predicted model, not a curated record. The transcript is spliced from 7 exons. NCBI's taxonomy places the organism in Eukaryota, Metazoa, Chordata, Mammalia, Carnivora, Felidae.
AGAAAAGGGCAAAUUCAUCAAUGGCCUAAUCUCCAGGAACGCCUACUGUCUUAAGGGUAAUGCUUUACUAGAAGGAAAAACAACCUGAGCUUGACAAUACCAAGGUCUCCAGUAACCCGUGAGUCUCCUUUAGCAUGUGGGAAUCCCUUUAAGAAACUUCCUCUCGACUUUACCUCCCCUAACUCCAUAGUAUAUAAGCAGUCACUCUUCACAACCCCAGUGCAGCUCUUUCUGCCCAUGGGCCUCGUCCCCGUACUUGAACUGCCUUUUUAUACCAAAGACAUUUUCAAGAACUCUUGGCCGUCAGCUCUGAACCCCACCCUCACUCCAAAACCCCAUCAUUUGGCACCUAAACCGUGGGACUUCAAGUCUUUUCAACUGGACUCUGAGCCAGUGCAAACUUGGUGUUUGAUUACUUCAUUAAAACUUCUCAAUAUUAAAGGAGCUUCGCUUUGCUAACAACCAUAUAACCCUACAUAUUUGCCUUUAGGAUCUCUUAUUGCCAUCUUGGUGAAGACACCAUUGGAAAUCCUGGUUAUUUCAGCAAGGCUUUGGCUGGAAUGUCCUAUUUGAGAGCAACAUGCAUAGACUCGGAUAUGACCAUACAGCUCUGAGGAACUAAGGUUGACUAUACGAAACAUGGAGCCAUAAAGCCACUUGGAAAUGUUGGCCUGAUACCUUGCUUACCAAGUUCCCAGAGGCCUUACCAGCGGGACAUUCAAAAGGAUCACCACAGACAUUUGAAUUACAAGCCAGAAAGACCCAUCUGAUUCCUACUGCCUGUUCCCACUCCAUCUGAGGAUGCUUCAAGCCUGACCUCUAAAAAUCUUGCUGGUACCACUGGCAGACACUGGACUCCUUCACUGCAAUAACUUCAAGCCAACAGACAAGCCUUUCUAUUCAAGAAGGACACGCCUGGUGGAUCUACCUAAGUCCAGGAGAGAGAUGUAUACCAUUCAUUUGAGAUACCGGUUCAAGCAGAAGCCAGGAGUGGGGACUGGAGAUGAUACUACAGCAUCUCAGACACCAGGUAGGUCUGUUACCCUGGACUUCCAGGGAGAGUAUCUCUGGAGCUCAACUUCUGCAUCCACAAGAUGGACCAAGCCAAGCAAUGGCCCAGAAAACCACAGGCUUUGUGCUUUUCUUGAAUCCUUGCCUCCUGAAUGUUCAUCCCUUAAGACUUUUUGAAGCCCAGGGCCAUGAAGUUUUCGUAAGGCUUCAGGAAUCCAGGUAAGCAACCUGGGCCCCCAGCUUCGGCUGAGGCCCUGUUAUGGAGUCAAUAUUUGUGUCCCCCAAAAUUCCUAGGUUGAAAUCCUAACCCUUAAUGUGAAUGGUAUUAGG